GGCGCGGGGGUGGGACGAAACGAGGUAAACAGCGGCCGCCCUGGGAGGUCCGGGGCGGAGUGCAGCGGAGCGGCCGCCGGUGCCCACUCCCGCAGGCCCGCCCCUCGGGCUGUGACCUCCCGAGCCUGGGCAGCCCCUCGCGGCAGUCCCCGCGCCGGAAGCCCCGGAGCCCGGGAUGAGGCCGGAAUUUCAGAGCGGAGAACAACCGCAGAGACCACCCCACCGCUUCCUUGCUGCGGAGGGGCACACGGACCCGAGCGGAGAGGGGACUUGCCAAAAGGCACGUAAGCAUCUGGAGCUGAGCCAGAGCUGGAGCUCAGGGCCCCAGAGUUGGGUCCAGGGCGCUCCUGGACAACUUCAUAGAGCUCCCACAAAUUCGAGGACCCCUAAAGAAGAUUGUUUGCAUACUUACUGCUCCAGACAUUGCCACAAUAGUCAUAGAUCCUCUGUGAGUUCACAAAGCCUUGCUUGGACCGGUUCCUGCUCAUGGCAUCAUAAAUGGUGGCAGGACCUUGAAGGGCUAAGGAGGCUCAAGGAGGUAGACCCAUAUGAACUAGAAUCUUCAGUUAGGAACACGGCUUGCACAUCCUGGGGGAAGAUUAGCUCUGGGCUCUCCUUACUGGAAUGCUGAACACACUUAACUUCCCCUGUCUUCUCUCUCACCUCUUCUUUGUCCAGCCACGGAUUUUCUGAAAUUGCCUUCUUUGUUCAGGCCACGGGAAGAACAUCAAGAAAGAAGAGGCCCUUGGACUGGGCAUUAGCGGAGCUAAGUUUGAGUCCUGGCUCUGCUGUGUGGCUCUGGGCAAGUCCCUUCCCUUCUCUGAUACUCAGCUUCCCCUUCUAGACUGUGAAGGAAUCAGACAAGAUGAUCACUAAGGGACCUUCCAUUUUGACACCGGAAAGUGCCUUCUCAGUACCAGGGUCAGAGACCAAGAGGACAACUGAUCUUAGAAUCUGGAGAAAAGGGAGCUCUGUUCCACUUUUUGUGGUCACACGGCAUUCUACAUAGUGGAUGUGAAAGGAAAAAUUAAACCUCAAACCAAGUCGCUCCGAGGAGACGAGGUACAUGUUGGUUCUGUCGGCAUCUGGAAAGUGGGAUUCGGGAAUGCAUUUUGCAAAAUUGUGCUUUCCAAGGAAAGGAAAGAAAAACAGAUAUAGGGCAGUAUGUUGCAAGGUUCUUGUCAAAGGAAGAAGAUCCAAGGACGAAUGUUGCAAGACUGUGCUGCUAAAGGAAGUGGCUUCUUAGCUCAUUUGAUCUGGAACAAAGCUUACAGAUUAUCUUGGCCACUCCCCUGGCUGGACAGAAGGGGAAACUAAGGCUCGGGGAGGGGAAGACCUGUGCCCAAGGCCAGGCUGGGAGUUCCUGACAAGCUGGCGUUACUAGGCUUCUCAACCACCUCCUGCCUGCUGCCUUUCUUCUAGCCCUCGAGCACGGGUCACGACCACUUCUGAUUUUGCUCCAGGCCCCUAGCCCACCCUCCACCCUCACAUUCUCUUGGACAGCAUCCCUGGUCACAAGAUAGGACUCAAUCUGGGAACUUGGAUCUCCACCUGCCAGAUACCAGGGGCCAAAGCCAGUAAGAGGCUGGGGCAAGCUGGAGAGGAAGGAGCUGAGUCUGAUGAUGUGGCCUGACCUCAGAAAGGAAGCCUGGUCACCAGGGGGAAUUUCCCCGGGGUGAGGUCUCAUGUCUAUGCAAAUGAUGCACUCCAAUUAACCUGGACCCCAGAACGGGAGAGGGGCAAAGGGAGACAGCACUGUGCUAGGCUCCUCCUGUGCUGCGUCUCAUCUUGUCCCCAGAACAGCCACCUAGGUAGGAAAGCGGGGUGGUGUGGCGGGGGGGGGGGCCUGAGGCCCAGUGAGGGGAAGGCAGGUCUGCCCCAGAGAACGCAGUGCACCCCCAAGGGGACACAAGGCCUUGGAGAGCAAUGCUGUGGGUGGAGUUGGAGCCGCUGCUGUUGCCGCUGACCAGAGUGACAGUGACAAGGCUCGAGUGGGAGAAGCCUAGCAAAGUUUCAUUUUGGGUUUCCAUCUCACUCACCUGGGGACUUUUGUCCUGGGGACAGCUAAAAGGCAAGCGGGGACGUAGGGACCCUGACUCCGCUUGGGCAAAUCCCUGCACUCAGGUUUUCCAAAGCCCGAAGGUGGGGUGUGCAGCAGUGGCACUGUUAACCCUUUCACCGCCAGCUUCUAGAACACUCCUUGAAAAGUGGACCGAGUCGGGACGUGGGCUGUUGACAGCAAAUCUCUCCCUCCUGCCUCUUUAAUUUUCACUCAGUUGAGCCUCACUACUCCACAAAGACUUCCCUGGGGAUUUCGUUCCUCUCAAAGGCGGAUCCCGCUUACUGCCUGGUUCUCCAAGGAGCUGGUCUUGCCUCCCCCAGAGCAGGGCUGCAAACAGGAGCAGAGCUCAAGUCCAGAGCAUUUGGGCGCAAAGUUUGCUCUCCACAGAGCCUGGUUGUUUGUUCUGCUGUCGAAGAACAUACCCGAGAGCAGGCAGGUCAGUGAUUCCCGGAGUUGUGUGCCACACACUAAGGCUGUGUGCCAAGGAAAGUAUGAGUGCAUACAUGCUCUGGUGAGCGCGUGUGAGAGGCGAGUCUAGGUACUUGUGUGAGGAGUUUUGUGUAGUACGCAUAUGGACAACAGUAUCUGUAUUUCUGAGCGGCGUAUUUGUGGGCCUAAUCAUUUUAUCUUCCUGUGUGGUCCACGGUGUGCAUUUCUGUGUGUGUGUUACCAGCAGUGUGCUUCUGAUUCUGGGAUAUACAUGGUGUGUCCCCAUGGGUAUGACUGGCAGUGAUGUGGAAUUCUGUGUGUGUGAUAAAUGGGAUUUGGGGGCUUUGAGUGGACACCAGCCGUGUGGGAGAACAGAAAUCACUAGCCCAGCACAGACUUGGGAUCUCUAGAUCCAUUCCCCACCCUCCCUGCUCACCUAUCAGGCCCUCCCAGCCCCGCCCAUGGCUAUCUCCAGGUCAAGGUCCAAGGCCAUCCCAAUGAGGUAGCCACUAGGUGGUUCUGGCUGCAGCUGGCAGCACACUAGGCAGAUGGGGGUAGCUGAGAGGGAGGGGUGAGACCGUCCCACAGAAGGAAAUGCAUGUUCUGCAAACUGCUACAACAGCUGGCCCAGGGGAAGGAGCCAUUGCCAGACAGCUCCCGUAUGGCUUCUCCAGUUCUCACCUGAGAGGUGGGCAGUGAGAUGGCCUGCACUGGAGGUCUCCGGCCUCACAUGCUGCUUGUAAAAGCACCUGCUGCCUCUGGGUUCCCGGGUAAUGACAUUACCUCUGGCUUUGUAUCUCCCUCCCUCUCUAAUCCCCCAUGGCAGAUUGGGCAGUUUCCUUGGUUUCUCACACCACCAUGUUUUUCUUAAGGCUCUUUUCUCCAUGUCUGCUUUCCUGCCCUGGCUCCUGUCCUCAUCCUUCUAUAUCGGAGGAACACUGCAAGCCAGUCCAAUGGUCUCCCAGCCCGUUUCCUUCUUCACACUGGCCACAGAGAUGUCUUUCUAAAGGACAUCUCUACUCCUGUCCCUUGCACCUUUGGGGCUGGCCAAGGCCUGGAGGGUAAGGUCCACACUUUAGCCUAGACUCCCCUUCUGGGUUCUUCUCCUUUAUGAAAUGGAACCUAGCCUACUUAUUAAUACCAAAGAGCUGAUAUUUAUUGAGUUCUUAUUAUGUCCCAGAUAGUGUGCUCAGAGAUGUGCAUGCAUUGGCUUCUUUGAUUCACAACAACCUUGUGAAAUAGCGACCUUUGUCAUUCCCAUUUUAUAGAUGAGGAAAUCAAGGCAUAGGGAGGCCAAGUGACUUAUCUACUUCUAAGUGGCUGACUGGGAUUCGAUCCAGCCAGCCUGCCUGCCUCCAUAUGUUAACCUCUGAGUAGAGGGCUCAGUUAAGAACUAGAAUUUCCUGCUUGCCUAACCCAACUGUAAAGUGAGGAAGUCUGCCUGGGGAAACCUGAGGUCUAAUAGGCCUGUUAGAACACCGAUGUGCUGCUUUUGGGUUCUGAAAUUCGGGUUGGGCAACUUGACACUUGUCCCUCCCAUUCUCAGCUCAGCCUGGCUUCCGUAACCAAGAGGAGGAAGACCUGUGAGUAGUGAGCAGAGCAGGAAUCAGGAGACCCAGGUGCUAACCCCAGACCUAGCCUUUAGUAAGACCAUGGUCACUGGGUCUUGAUUUUUGAACUCCUGAAACAAGAGCGUUGGUUUGGAUGAGCUGCAAGACCAUUUCCAGCUCAAUCCACAUGUGUCCUGUACCUUCAGGCAGUUUGACCGCUUGGACCCUUGGUUUCCUCAUUAGAAUAAGGGUGAUUACCCUUGCCCUCCUCCCGAGGGAUUACCCAUUAUUCUCAGCAAAGCUGGGGCACAGUAAACAUCAGGGCGUUCCAGAUAGCCAGCAGUUCCCACACCGCUGUCCAACAGCUGGAAAUGUGGCCAUGGCAGUUCUCAAAUAGCGGCUCUCUGCUCGGGUUAGAAGGGCAACUGCCUCCCGGCCACUCACUUCAGAUGUUUCCCUGUGGCCCCAAAGAGCGAGGUUGGAGCUUCCCAGUCUGGAGCUUCUGAGAAGGGUUCACUCUGAACGGAAAAUGCAGGGCUGGAGUCAGGAGGCCGGGCCAAGAGCAAGGGGCGGAGCUGGGGAGAGGCUGAGAGAGAAGCCCCAUGGCAGAAGGGGGAAGAAGGAAGACAGUGGGAGAAGACACGGGCGGGGGUCCAAGAGCACCAGAUGGGGCAGGACUGCAGGGUUCCAGUUCUGCCCGCCGCAGAAACGCUAAGUGCCCUUGGGACGGUUGUCUGUGAGAGGGAGAGGGAGGUGAGACUUUCCGAGGGCCCCUUCCACACUUAGAACAUCACCACCAUCCUCCUUUUCUCCCAUUUUGAGACAGCAGUGGUUUGGGCUUCUGCUUUCUCUUUCCUUUUAGUUUUAAUUUAGUCCCCCGCCACUUCUCUCCAUUGAACUUUGGCCACAGAAGCAAUCUCCGGUGUCAUUUAACAGCGUGUUUUGGAGUAAGCUGGGUGACAGGGACACUCAAAUGUCCGCUCUCAAGGAUUAGGAGGCAACAGUCUUAAGUUUUGAUAUCUUUAGUAUCCACCACAUAUGGCACAGCAUACAGGAGGCAUUCCAGAAGUGUAAGCUGCAAGAGUGAAUGAACGAAUGAAUGAAUGAAUGAAUGAAGUGCAGGGAUUCUGAAUAGUGGCUGCUGCCUCCUCUGCCACAGCUCCAAGGGGGAAAAAAUGUGAUUUGCUCUGCAGGCACCUGAGUCUUAAGUGGGAUUGUUGCUUUAGCCUUCCAACUGGCCACCCUUCCCUCACACGGUUGGUUUUUCUCAAGUGUGUGGCUAGAUGCAUACCUUCCCUCUAAGAACCUCCAAAGGCUCCCCUGUGGUGUAAGAUAAAAUCCUGACAUUCCCCCAUAGUUGGGUUCACACUCCCAUUUCUAAUGCCGUCUGCCUCAUCCCACAAGCCCUAAGGGUCUCCCUCCUACUAGAGACCAAUCCCAGAAUGCAACCCACCUUAACUGAAAAGCAAGUGAAAAUUGCACCUUGAGGAACUACAACAGGCUUGUACAUUGCGAGUGAUCAGUUUCAGUUAUCCUCAUUCCCGGUUUCUGGGAAUUCGAGACUUUCCUGGCCUCUCUGCUUGUGUGUUCCCCUUGGCCUCAGGGGGCCUCCCCCUUCUAUUCCCUCCGAUUCCAUCACUCGUUCCUUGCCACUCCCAGAACUGUUCUUCCCUCAGCACAUGUUUUUAAGGUGCUUUCUUGUUUGUUUUUGGGUGCCUCUGUGAUCUGCAGUUGACUUGAUAGCAGAAUCAGAAAACAUCUUGGGAUCCACUUAUCAGCCUCCUACAACGGGGCCUGGCUCUGGACAGGUGGUGCCCGACAGCUGACUCCGGGCAAGGCAGGCCCCUGCCGAGUAGUUCCCUGCAUUACACCUCAUUUCCUCCUCAAAGGCUAAGAGAUGGGUGGAACUGGACGCCCUGUUCUCUAGAUGAGGAAACUGAGGCUCAGAAAUGCCAUGCUCACGGUCAGUUAGCGGCAAGGGCCUGACUCCACAGCUUUUAACCACUGUUAAUUUGUCUUUUGAUAAUAGUUGCAGUAAGUUGGGUAAAUACCCAAAAAAGCUCUCAGCUGACUCUCCUGGGAUGUAGGUUCUCAGCCUGGUGGAGGGAAGAAAGUGGAGGACAGAACAAGAAAGACCAUCUUGCUUUCAGCCUCAUUAUGGCAGAGAUGAAGAUAGGACUCUUUAAAACCACUGGGUCCAGGGGCGCCUGGGUGGCUGAGUCAGUUAAGCGUCCGACUUUGGCUCAGGUCAUGAUCUCAUGGUUUGUGGGUUCGAGCCCCAAGUUGGGCUCUGUGCUGCCAGCUCAGAGCCGGGAGCCUGCUUUGGAUUCUGUGUCUCCCUCUCUAUCUGCCCCUCCCCUGCUCACGCUCUGUCUCUCUCAAAAACAAAUAAACAUUUAAAAAAAUUAAAAAAAAAAUCGUUGGAUCCAACCCCUCACUGUACAAAUGUAGAAACUGAGGCCCAGUAAGGGCAGUGGCAGGCCCAAGGUCACUCAAGUUUCCCAAACCCCGUGCCCCCUGCACAGCUACUAUAGCAGACACACUUGAUUUGUCAAAGUAGGUCAGGCCAGUCAGGAUAGGGAGCAGGGCCCCCCAGUCAGCAGGCGCCCUCGCACCUCUGUCACCCUCACCAGACAACUUCAGACCCAAGUCUCAGAGCAGAAACACAUCCGAUGGAAGGGAGACGGAGAAGCUGCUGCUUAUCAGUGAUCUUCACAAAGUAGAAACUUUCCGCGGGCCUCCCCAGAUCACGAUCACAUCUGGUGCCCUUGAAGAGCUCAAAAGAGGAAGUUUUGGUUUGGUUGUAAUGAAUGAAGAAUGCACAGAGACACGUCCAGGCAGCAGAGGGAGGAGGGAGUAUCUGAGACCUGGAGGGGACUGAGGCAGCCUUUCCAGGCUAGAUGUUAGCUCAGACUCUCACUCGGAUUCCCAGUCAAGAGCAUGAGGGUAGAACUUACUCCUGGGUGGGUGAAUACCUCAGGCUGUCAUGAGGACAAUCCAGUGGCAGGUCUAGGUCAAAAACACAGACCCCGUGGGAAAUAUGUUUAUGUGUCUGUAUGUCUGUUUCUAGUUAGAGAGGAAAGUGGAAAGGGAAUGACUUGGGGGCACAUCUUACACUGUCAAUGUUAGAGAAAGCCAACAUCCUUUCAUCCAACUCUCCUACUUUGUAGAUAAGAGAGUAGAGACUCAGGCAGGGACAGAAGUUGGCCUGAAGCUAGAACGCAUACACGUGGCAGAUGCAAAUUUGAACCCAGGUAGCCAGACUCCCGGUUCCAUCUCUCUGGAUGGGGGCAAGUGGUGAAACAGUGGGGGGACUGGCAAUUGGCUGGAAGGCAUUGACCCGACCCUUCUCUCCCCCAGGACACUUAAUCGGCACCUGCCACCACACGCUGCCAUUCAAAGCACACGCUUCACUCAUUUCACAGACAGAGGCUCAGUAUGUUUUUGGAUUUGACAAAGCCCAAAGCAGGGCAAGGGCUGCCGUAAGGGAUGGAAGCUGGGAAGGGCUGAAGAGGAAGAUGGGGAGUGGAGGUGGACGGGAUUUGUGGCUACGGCUCUUCAGUUGCUCACAUGUGAGCAGAAGUGACCGUGCUGGGCCUUCAGUGGCCUGUGGGAGUGGGAGCCUUUCCUAAACCCCAGCUGAAGACAAAAGCCCACCCCUGACCCCCUCCCCCCACCCCUGUCCCUUCCUUAGUCUCUGGAGCUGGAGCAGUUAGGCUCGGUCAUGGCGGCUGGUGCUGCUGACCAUUUCUCGGCACAGGUGCCGGCCAAAGCUGGUCGCCCUAGUCCUCGCCUCCACAGAUAGCCAGCAGGGCCUUCAGGAAGUCUCCAGAGGUGUCACCCUGGCAGGGGCAGAGGAAGAGCAAUGAGUUAAAACAAUCCUGAUGGCCUCGAUGCCCCUUCCUCCCAGCUGUUGUCAGCCUAAUGUCUCCCAAACACACAAACGUGACUAUGUCCCUUCUGUGGCUCCCCACUACCCUCAGGAAAAUGUCCAAGCUCUCAGCCUGGCCUCAAGGCCUUUUGUGGUCUGACCCCCAUGAAGCUUGGUGGCUUCACCCCCCUCCCCCACUUCUGGGAGCAUCUAGGUUCAUCUUCCUACUUUAAUGCUUACCACUCCUGUGUCCAGCAUGCCCUCUGCACCACUCCCAAAUCCUGCCUGGCCUCUGAUGCCCCUUCUUCUGUGAAGUGUUCCUGCCCUCUGUUCUUCCCUUCCUCCUCCCACAGCCAUUAACACAUGCGCAAAUGAGAUUCCUUAUUUGAACAGACACUGUGGAGCACUUACUGAGUACCAGGCCCUUGCAGGAAUUUAUGUGAAUGUCAUUGUGUUUUUUACACAUAAUAUCUGGCCUCCAGCAGAACUGUGGGAGGCCAGAUUCUCCCUCUUUUUAGAGUGGCUCCUGUCAUUUUUAUUUUUAUGAUAUAUGCUUUUUUUCCCUUUUUUUGGUAAACUCAUCAUUAUAACAAAUCAUCAUCAUUUUAAAAAAUCAUCAUUAUAAAUAACGAUGUAAGUCAAAGGAAAGAUGAUACAAUAAAAAUCUCCCAUUCCUGACUUCUCUUUCCCCAAAUCAAGAGAGAGCUACGAUUACUGUUGUCUUGUGCGGGUUCCCAGCAACAAUCUGAGCAUAUACUAAUAUGUAUAUGUGUAGAAUGUCCCUUUUCUACACAAAUGGACACAUAGCACUCACACUAUUCUGGGCAUACUUUUUUUGGCUUAGAGUAGAUCCGAAAUCAGCAGAUAGAGCCUCCUCAAGCUUUUUCAUGGUUGUGUCGUGCUCUAUCGUAUAGGUGUACCAUACUUUCUUUAACCAGCUCUGUACAGAGGACUUCCAAUAUUUUGCUACAUAAAUAUUCUCUUACACAUCUUUGGGAACAUGUGUAGCUAGGUCUAUAGGAUCAAUUCCCACAUACAGAAGCAGCAAGUCCGAAGUGUACGCAUUUAACAUUUUGAAAACUGCCAGACUACUCUUCAAAGAUGUGCUAACAAUGUACAUCCUCCCCACCAAGUCUGUGUGAAGCUGCUAUAACAUUUCCCAGUCUUGUCGGCCAAGCCCAGUAUCAAACUUUAAGAUCUUGGCCAACCUCGAAGCCAAAAAAAUGGGCUCUGUAAGUGAAAGAAGUCAGAUACAAAAGAUCUCACAUCACAUGGUUCUAUUUCUAUGAAAUAGCAAGAAAAGGCAAAUCUAUAGAGACACAGAGUCGCUUGGCGGGCAGGGGUGGGAAUAAGUAAGGAGGUACAAGGGAUCUUAGUGGGAUGACGGAAAUGUUCUAAAACUGGAUUGUGGCGAUGGUGCACAACUCAUUAAGUUUGCUAAAAAAAAUACUGGGUCACCUAGGUGGCUCCAUUGGUUGAGAGUCUAACUUUGGCUCAGGUCACAAUCUUACAGUCUGUGAGUUGGAGCCCCGUAGUGGGCUUUCUGCUGCCGGCAGAGCCUGCUUUGGAUCCUCUGUCCCCCUCUCUCUCUAUGUCUCUCCUGCUCACGAUCUCUCUCUCUCUCACUCUC
Acinonyx jubatus (cheetah) is the source of this 9542-nucleotide long non-coding RNA. RefSeq lists it as uncharacterized. The transcript is spliced from 3 exons. NCBI's taxonomy places the organism in Eukaryota, Metazoa, Chordata, Mammalia, Carnivora, Felidae. The record is from RefSeq and is a predicted model, not a curated record.